UAGGGCAUUUAUUUUAUUGUGAUGACUUUUGGCCAUCGAACACAAAGCAACAAGUCCGAAAAGAAAAUGUAGUCUUACACCAACGAAAAUGAUGACAAAUAUAUGUCAUCGGAAGAAUAGGCUGAAAAUACGUAUUUCUAUUUUGAUUCUAACUGUGAUUGCACUGACAAGCAUUUUCAAGGAGGUUUCAUUGUCAAUUUUACAUGUUGAAAAGAACUUCAGCGAUAAAAAAGAUGGCGGAUUAAAUAACUUCACCAACUUUCCAAAAAUCCCAAUAAAACAUCAAUUAGGAUUAGAAAUGUCUAACAAUUUAACAACAGAUCGAACAAAAUUCGUUGUUGUUUUAAGGCGGGCGAGUCAAACGAAGGCGCCUUCAGAUUUGAAAUUAGAUGGAAAUCGUGUUACAGAAUUGAAAGAUAUUUUUAUCAGCAUUAAAACAGCCUCUCAAAACCAUGUCAGCCGUCUGCAACUUUUAAUAAAUACAUGGGUACAGCAAGCUAAGAACCAGACAUACAUUUUCACAGACCAGCGAGAUGAAGCAUUAGAAAAUGUAAUGGCAGGUCACAUUGUAAAUACCAACUGUUCAAGGGACCAUAAUAGGCGCUCACUUGUGUGUAAGAUGGGUCAUGAGUUUGACAUGUACAUCGUGUCGGAGCUUCGCUGGUGGUGUCACGUGGACGAUGACACGUACUUAAAUGUGAAAGAGCUUGUUAGACUGCUGGCCGGGUACCGGCACACGGAGGACUGGUACCUGGGGAAACCCAGUCUGGACCACCCCAUAGAGGUGAUCAACCAUGUGAACCCUGGGCCUCUUGGUAUAGGUAAUGAAAUUGUGCUUUUGUUGGUAACUUGUUUAAUGUGUAAAGUUUUGGUUUCAAUUUUGAGUUUGCGGUGUUUGUAAAGCCAUUAUGUUGCUGUUUGAUUAUUUUGAGCCCUUGCUUUUUUAUUCUCCCUAAAAGAUGGUGGGGCAUAUUUUAGUCUUGCAUUGUCCAUCCGUCUGAGUUCUAAUCUUAAUGUAAUUGAGUCAAUAGGUAUUUCAUAAAGUAAUUGACUCAUUUUUCGUUCCCAAGCUUUGCACGAACGCAUACUUUUAGAAAGGGAUGAUCAGGGAGCACCUAAGUUUCAGUGAUUUUCUUUUGCUGUGUUACCAAGGUUAGUUCAAAUAUUGUUUUUUAUUGAAGUUAAUUUAUUGGAAACUUUAAAGCACUUAUUUUUGUUUGAAUUUGUCCAAAUUACAUGCAAGACCAAAGUACAUGAGAAAUAAAGGUGUCUCAUGUUAAAGCAAAAAAUAGAUAAAGUAAAUACGUCUUUAGUCACAAUGCAAUUUUGUUCUUAUUGAAACAUGUUUCCUGUAACUUAUUGGACAUUUCAAUGGUUUUCUUUUGUUUUUAUUUUAUUUAUAUAAAAAGCCUGAAAACUUGUAAUUAAUGAUGUGUACAUAAAUACGGUUGUAUGUUUUAAUUUGUACAUUGUGUCAUGUUUGUUGUUUUAGUUUCAGUUGUGUUUACAUAGAUGUGUUAAAAGGCCCAAUUUACUUUGAGAUAUUAACAGCAAACAUAUUAACAGCAACUACAAAAUAAAUUACUUCCUUGAACAAUUAUUUUGCUCACCAUUAUGUUUGUAUUAGUAUUAAUUUCAUUUGAAGAUAAUGGAAUAAAUUAAAUAUAGAACUGUAGUAUAACUUCUUUGACUAAAGCAAUAAUUAAUAAUAAUCCUAUGGUUACCAAAUGAGAUUCUUCAUGUAAAAAUGAGUCUUAUGCAAUAUAAGGCCAGCAUAGCUCCAGACUAGCAUGCACAUAUGCGCGGGCUGGUUUGGAAGUACUCUGUCUGCUAAUAGAACCAUGGACUUUAUGGCGGACUCAGUAGCUCCUUACCAGACUGAUCCAAUGUGCAUGCAGGUCUGGAGCUACGCUGGCAUGGUAUGAUAUAAGACACAUUUUUGCAAGAUGCAACAUAUCUCAGUCACAAUAAAAUUGUUUGUAUAUCAAUAAUAAAUUACCACAAUAAAUUGAAGCAUUGAUAGCUGGAUAAUAGACCCUUUCAGUUAUUGCCGGUAUUUAAUUAUCUCCCUUGUGUGACGUCAUAUCUCCCUUGUGUGACGUCAUGCGAUGAUAAUCAAGUGUAUCGAUUGUAAACGAGAACAGAAAUCUUGUUAGAAAAUGUUUUUUUCAACGAUGUAAGUGGACUAAAAAUAUGCACACAAAGAUUUGUACUUACCAAAUUGUUAAUAAUGUAUUUUCUAAUAAAUUUUUUAUAUUCGGUUUAUACUGCUGAUACAGCAGUGGUAUUGUUCAUCAGAGAAUGUGAUCGGAAGACUAAAUACUGAAAAUCCCACAAAACAAAACAACUAACCCAAGCUUGCAUUCUGGUUUGCAACUGGAGGAGCAGGGUUCUGUGUGAGUCGAGCCUUGGCACUGAAGAUGGUUCCAUAUGCAGGUGGCGGAAGGCUGACGAAAGCCGGAGACCAGAUCAGGCUACCAGACG
RNA transcript from Dreissena polymorpha, 2484 nucleotides. It is a transcript of the gene named beta-1,3-N-acetylglucosaminyltransferase lunatic fringe-like, with no coding region annotated. The record is from RefSeq and is a predicted model, not a curated record. NCBI's taxonomy places the organism in Eukaryota, Metazoa, Mollusca, Bivalvia, Myida, Dreissenidae. The transcript is spliced from 7 exons.